RNAcentral lists this ribosomal RNA (288 nucleotides) under uncultured cyanobacterium. Its description in RNAcentral is "partial 16S ribosomal RNA". It matches the Rfam family "Bacterial small subunit ribosomal RNA", at positions 417 to 720 of the family's 1533-position model. Lineage: Bacteria; Bacillati; Cyanobacteriota. The record is from RNAcentral.
CUUGGGUUGUAAACCUCUUUUCUCAGGAAAGAAGCUCUGACGGUACCUGAGGAAUAAGCAUCGGCUAACUCCGUGCCAGCAGCCGCGGUAAUACGGAGGAUGCAAGCGUUAUCCGGAAUGAUUGGGCGUAAAGCGUCCGUAGGUGGCUAUGCAUGUCUGCUGUCAAAGCGCGGGGCUUAACUCCGUAAAGGCAGUGGAAACUGCAUGGCUAGAGUGUGGUAGGGGUAGAGGGAAUUCCCGGUGUAGCGGUGAAAUGCGUAGAGAUCGGGAAGAACACCGGUGGCGAAA